UGGGGAAUUUUGCGCAAUGGGCGCAAGUCUGAUCCAGCCACGCCGCGUGGGUGAAGAAGGUCUUCGGAUUGUAAAGCUCUUUCGUCAGGGAAGAAAUUUGGGGCGUUAAUACGGUUUCAGCUUGACGGUACCUGGAGAGGAAGCCCCGGCUAACUAUGUGCCAGCAGCCGCGGUAAUACAGAGGGGGCGAGCGUUAUUCGGAAUUACUGGGCGUAAAGGGCGCGCAGGCGGUUCUUUAAGUCGGAUGUGCAAUCCCCGAGCUCAACUUGGGAACUGCGUCUGAAACUGGGGAGCUAGAGUGCGGGAGAGGGGGGUGGAAUUCCACGUGUAGCGGUGAAAUGCGUAGAGAUGUGGAGGAACACCAGUGGCGAAGGCGGCCACCUGGGCAGUCACUGACGCUGAGGCGCGAAAGUGUGGGUAGCAAACAGGAUUAGAUACCCUGGUAGUCCACGCCGUAAACGAUGAGCACUUGGUGUGGUGGGAGGAGACUCCUUCAGUGCCGUAGCUAACGCGUUAAGUGUCCGCCUG
This 528-nucleotide ribosomal RNA is filed under the name bacterium enrichment culture. RNAcentral describes it as "bacterial SSU rRNA". It matches the Rfam family "Bacterial small subunit ribosomal RNA", at positions 355 to 875 of the family's 1533-position model. The record is from RNAcentral.